This is a long non-coding RNA of Cucurbita moschata (crookneck pumpkin), 94 nucleotides long. RefSeq lists it as uncharacterized. The transcript has 3 exons. NCBI's taxonomy places the organism in Eukaryota, Viridiplantae, Streptophyta, Magnoliopsida, Cucurbitales, Cucurbitaceae. The record is from RefSeq and is a predicted model, not a curated record.
AAUUCUGGUAAUAGGUUGCUUGAUUGAAUGGCUCGGAUGCAAUCUACGACAAGAAUUGCUUGAAACUUAUAAAUUGUAAAGAUGAUGCUCAAAU